Molecule: long non-coding RNA, 4078 nt
Organism: Carcharodon carcharias (great white shark)
Lineage: Eukaryota; Metazoa; Chordata; Chondrichthyes; Lamniformes; Lamnidae
Exons: 2
Source: RefSeq, a predicted model, not a curated record
GUGGCCUCCUCUCAGAACUUUAAAAAUUGAUGCUGUGACAGAGGAACCUCUGUUGGGAGGGAUGACAUCAUCGGGGUUGGGGCACUCAGUCGUUGUGCUGCCAGAAGUCAUGGGUUUAAGUUCCAUGCCAUAAUUUAUGCCGCUGUGUAGUGAUUGUGGGUAAAAAAUCUUCCCUACUGUUUGAGGGGUCACAGGUCACAUGAUUGGACUGACGAAUCAGCCCUAAGCGUGGGUAAUCUUAGGGGCGGAGCUUUCUAGUCAUGAGCCUGGCCCAAGCAUGUAGCUUUUUCCAAGAGCUCUGUAAAUAAGGUUAUCCGUGUGCUAAGUUUUUACAAUUGAGGACGAGGAUAUUUAGCUCCGACGUUGCAUCUCACCUCCUGAAUGUGAGUACAUCAAUUUUUAAGGAAUGAAAGAAAAGUAUACUCACCAGUCAUAAGAGAAAAAGUUUCUUGUUGAGGCGUCGGAUGAGACGAAGAAUAAUAGAAGAAUAAAAUGAAGAGAAAGGAGAUAUGGCUGUGAAAGCGGGUUUUAGUAAACACCUUGUCAAACAAGACUCACCAGUCAUGCCUCUCUUCAGCAGAAUCAUUUAUGACUCGUCCACGGAAGAUUGGAGCCUGUAGGUAGAGCGUCUAGAUUUUUAUUUCACGGCGAAUAAAAUAACAGCAGAAGAGAAGCAGAAAGCCACACAAUUACUGAGUUCCCCCCCCACUGCCCCCCCGAUGUUGUCAUCCCUCCUAACAUAGGUUCCUCUGUCGUAACAUCAAUUUUUAAAGUUCUGUGAGGAAGCCACUUAAGGACAUUUUUCUGCAUAAGGAGGCACCAUUAAGUAUCUGUGGGACCAAGACAUAUAACCUCAUCCGUAGUCUGACGGUCCAGAACACGCCCAAUUCUAAAUCUGCUGGUAGGCCUCAAGGAGACAUAUUUUCAUCAGAAGCCAUCGGUAAUUAUGCAGAUUUAAGUUCAACUCCAGAAUAAGGGCCCCAGGAGAUAAUGUUGAUCUGAAGCGCGCCAUGAAAUAGCACUAGCAAUGGAGAGUGCUGAGAGACUCGCAGGCUUUGCAGAGAAUACAACAUGGCGCCAUUCUUAAGUUUAGGGCAGGAACUUACCAUCGGGCGUGGCACGAAAACCAGAGAGGCAACCAUGAAGCAGGAGACAGUCUUGACUGUUCGAAAAAUGAAAAGGCAUACUGGAAGCCUCUCACCAGCGAUUCAGAAAUUAAUUUGUUACCGAUGGUGGGGUAACCAUAUACCAGAAACUUGCAGAUUUAAAGAGCCAGAAUGCCACUACUGUCACAAAAAAGGGCAUGUAAUAAAACAAUGCAGGGUGAAACCCAGACAGCCAAUAAGACGGCAGACCAAGAUGAUUGAACUGCACAACAGAACUGAACCAGAAGCUGCUGAUACUGAUAUCUAUUCCCUAUACAAUGUCAAAGCAGUAAAAACUGAACUAAUUACCAUCGCCCUUCAAGUGAAUGGGAAGCCUCUAGUCAUGGAGAUAGACACAAGAGCAUCGACCACAUUGGUGUGAGAACACAUAUUUAAAUACCUAAGUGAAGGUACCCAGCCACUGAAUCUGGAGCAAACCAUGGCUCAGCUGAAGAGGUACACUGAAGAGACAAUACAAGUAAAAGGCAUUGCCACUGUACCUGUGCACUGUAGGCAACAGACAGCCCAGCUUUCCAGUGAUCAUUUUAACUGGUGCACGACCUGUUCUGGGCCACGAUUGGUUAUAAAAAAUUAAGCUCAACUGGUCAUAAAUGUUUCAAGUUAAAACAGGAGGAAUUCCUGAACUGUUAAAGAAGUACGACAGCAUAUUUUGUGAUGAAUUGGGAAAGAUUAAAGGCCUACAGACAAAAUUAUAUGUAGGCUUGGAGGCAACACCCUGGUUCUUUAAGGCCAGACCUGUGCCUUACACCCUAGAGGAGAAGGUGGAUGCAGAACUGUGCCGCUUAGAGAAGCUAGGAUAAUCCAGCCAGUCCAAUUGUCAGAAUGGGCAGUGCCCAUUGUCCCUGUGAUGAAAACAGAUCAAACUACUUGUAUUUGCAGAGUCUACAAAUUAACUGAACAAGGCUGCUAAAUUAGAUAAAUAUCCUAUCCUGAGGACUGAAGAUUUGGAUGCUAAACUAGCUAGAGGAAAAUCCUAUGCCAAACUGGACACGAGCCAUGCAUACAAACAGCUAGAGCUGAACAGCACAUCUAGAGGGUAUGUAACAAUCAACACGCACAGGGGCCUGUACCAAUAUACACGCCUACCCUUUGGUGUAUCAUCUGCCUGUGCAAUCUUCCAAAGGACCAUGGAAAGCCUAAUGCAAGCACUUCCGCAAGUAAUAGUGUACCUGAAUGAUGUCCUGAUCACAGGAUCAACAGAAGCCGAACAUUUGACCAACUUAGAAGGGGUUUUAAGAAGAUUUUUGGAAACUGGUGUCCAGUUGAAGAAAGAGACGUGUAUUUUCCAAGCAACUGAAGUCAUUUAUUUGGAUAAUCGAGUGGAUGCCUGAGGGUUGCAUCCAGUAGAGGAGAAAUCGGGGUGAUCAAGGAAGCGCCCUUUUGUACCAGUGUCACUGAACUUAUGUCUUUUUUGGGCAUUUUAAAUUAUUACAGUCACUUCUUGCCAAACUUGUCAACAGUGUUAGUAGCUUUGCACUUAUUAUUGAAAAAGAACCAUCAAUGGUAAUGGAAGGUGCAACAAGAAGAAGCCUUCGUAAAAGUCAAGAAGCUUUUACACUCAUCAUGUCUACUAGUGCAUUAUGAUCCAUGAAAAGAAUUAAUAUUAACUUGUGAUGCAUCACCCUACGGUGUGGGAGUUCUGUUGUCACAUAGGAUGGAAGAUGGUUUUGAAAGGACAAUAGGCUAUGUCUCCAGAACCCUCUCUGCAGCCGAGAAGAGUUACUCACAACUUGAAAAAGAAGGUUUAUCAGUAAAAUUUGGAGUAAAGAAAUUCCAACAAUAUCAGCAUGGUUGACAUUUCACCGUAGUGUCAGAUUGUAAGCCACUCAUGGGUUUAUUUAGUGAAGAAAAAGCAAUUCUGCCGAUAGCCUCUGCCAGAAUCCAACGACGGGCUUUAAUUGUCGGCCAAUGAGUGCACCUUUAUGCACCAUCCGGGUGUGCAUAUAGCAAAUGCAAACACUCUCAGUUGUUAGAAACUAGAAUUUCAUGUUUUCUUCUCAACUACCAUGCAACUAUGGGUUCAACACCAUCUAAAUUACCGAAAAAACGCCUCCUUCGUACAAGGUUAAGUCUGGUGUUUUCAAAAUUGGAGGGGAAGAUGAAGAAGAACCAGUGUAGUCAGAAAGUGAAUCAUGAUAUUCAUGAUAGCAAAGCCCAAAAAUUUACUGUGGGAGAGACAGUUUUCGUGUAACCUUUUGGAAAUGCUCCUAAUUGUGUCCCUGGUAUAAUUGUUUCUGAAACUGGACCUUUGCCAUACCAAGUGGAAGUGGAAGACUGGAUUGUUCGAAAACGUGGAUCAUCUAAGGAGUAGUGAGACAUUCCAAGAACCAGUUAUUCCACCUGUAAUUGAUGGCGAACCUUUAAUACCCGAGGCGACAGAAUAGACAUACCUGAUGUCUCUGUUGAAAUAAAUAAUUCUGAACUACCAUUGUCUAAGGAUGUCCCUGAUGCUACAGUUCCUGAUCAUGUCAAUCCAGUGGAAGAAUCUGAAGUCAUAGAACUAUGUCGCUCUAACCGAAUCAGUAAACCACCUCGGAGACUUAAUCCAUAAUUGCAUGACUUGUGUAUAUAUGUAUAUGUCGUGGAUUAAGAUAUUCUUGUAAUUAAGAAAUGUAAAAAGCAUUAAAGGGGGAGGGAUGUAGUGAUUGUGUGUAAAACCUUUCCUACUGUUUUAGGUGUCAAAUGAUUGUACUGACGAAUCAGCACGGGUAAUCUUAGGGGCGGAGCUUUCUAGUCGUGGACCUGGUCCAAGCAUAUAGCUUUUUCAAGAGCUCUGUAAAUAAAGUUAAUUGUUUCAACUAAGAAACCUGUUCGGUACACCAAGUUUAUUACAUAUAGACUGUAAACAAUUGCAUAUUAUGAAUGGGUGUAAGAUUUUGCCAGCAGAUAACAAUUAAAUAACAUUUAAACAA